GGGUGCGUAGGCUGCGCGGAAAGUUGGGUGUGAAAGCCCUCAGCUCAACUGAGGAAUUGCAUCCAAAACUGCCGUGCUUGAGGGAGACAGAGGUGAGCGGAACUCAAGGUGGAGCGGUGAAAUGCGUUGAUAUCUUGAGGAACACCGGUGGCGAAAGCGGCUCACUGGGUCUCUUCUGACGCCUGAGGCACGAAAGCUAAGGUAGCAAACGGGAUUAGAUACCCCGGUAGUCUUAGCUGUAAACGAUGAGCACUUGAUUGGAGGGUCCUCCAUAGCCUUCCAGUCGUAGCGAAAGUGUUAAGUGCUCCGCCUGGGGAGUAUGGUCGCAAGGCUGAAACUCAAAGAAAUUGACGGGGGCUCACACAAGCGGUGGAGGAUGUGGCUUAAUUCGAGGCUACGCGAAGAACCUUAUCCUAGUCUUGACAUGUAUGGAUUAACCCUGUGAAAGCAGGGCCACGCCUUCGGGUGGAACAUACACAGGUGCUGCAUGGCU
RNAcentral lists this ribosomal RNA (493 nucleotides) under uncultured Planctomycetaceae bacterium. RNAcentral's name for it is "bacterial SSU rRNA". It matches the Rfam family "Bacterial small subunit ribosomal RNA", at positions 565 to 1050 of the family's 1533-position model. The record is from RNAcentral. Lineage: Bacteria; Pseudomonadati; Planctomycetota; Planctomycetia; Planctomycetales; Planctomycetaceae.